Molecule: long non-coding RNA, 354 nt
Filed under: Mytilus galloprovincialis (Mediterranean mussel)
Lineage: Eukaryota; Metazoa; Mollusca; Bivalvia; Mytilida; Mytilidae
Source: RNAcentral
UGUUUACUUAAAGUUAUAUAGGAAUUUUAGUAUGUUAAUGGAGCACGGUUCUUGUUAUUUAAGAGUUAUUUGUAAAAUGUUACUACACAAUUUGAAGAAUCUUUAAAAAUUUAGUAUAUAGUAAAUAGGUUCACCAUUUCAAGACGAAAAACGGGUUGUUCUCCUAAUAAAAUUGAAAGGUAGCGAGACACUCCAUCAAGUCAGCAAUACAGUUAAUAGAUAAAAGCAAAUAGAGAUGCGGAAAUAAAAAGUUAACUUUACACUAAAAAAAAAACACGGAAGAAACUAAAUGAUUAGUAGUUAUGUUCUGCGUAUAGAAUACAUAACAUGAUAUAAUUCAUUUUCAUUCCCCCC